This 1548-nucleotide ribosomal RNA is filed under the name Triticum aestivum (bread wheat). Its description in RNAcentral is "partial small subunit ribosomal RNA". The record is from RNAcentral. Lineage: Eukaryota; Viridiplantae; Streptophyta; Magnoliopsida; Poales; Poaceae.
AUCCCCUUGCGCAGCCUCGUCAAUACCCUCGCACGUCCUUGGUCAUUCUCUCUUCAUCUGCCUCGUCAGUCCCUCGCACAGCCGCCGCCGCCGACCCUCCUCUUGAUCGUGCCGCCGCCGCCGACCCUCGCACAGCCGCCGCCGCAUGCUCUCCUCUGCUGCCCCACCGCCCCCAGCACCGCCUUGUCCGUCGAGCAGGCCCUCCCCACCACUACUGCUCCUCACAGCAGCGCCUCCUCUCUGGAUCAGCUGCUGACGGCCGUCAACGCCGGCUACCCUCCUCUUCCCUCAGCAGCACCCCCCGAGGCUGAAUCUUCUAACGCCGCCGCCGACAGAGGAUGCCAUGUUUUUUCACGUACAUGGGAGUGGAAGCAUUAAUCAGGCACAAUUCGAUAGAUUUCCCUGAUGUCCCUACUUAGUAUUUUGAAUCACUCUAUCUGUCGCUUUGCUUAUGUAUGCUAUCUAGUUCAUGCAACCUUUUGAUAUCAGUUCAGUUCGGCCAGUUUAAUCUGCUGCUAAUAUCUGUGUUUAAUUUCAGGAGAACCAUGUCUAUCUUAAUUAGCUUAUUUAGGGGUAAUGUUGAUAUGCAUCUUAUCUUGGAUUUUGGACAUGCUACAACUAUGUGUUUAAUCAUUUUCCUGGGAUGAAUUUUGCUUUGAUCAUCGGGUAGUAAUCUGGAUUAAUGAUGUGUGCAUCCUCAUCUGUUAGUAUUUUCUUUUCAAAUGUUCAUUCGUUAAUCUUGUUCUGCAUGUCAUAAGAGUUAUAUAUCUGGUAUGGUUGUGAAAUGUGAUAAUCGAUCCUACAUAUGCUGGUUGGUUGGGAGGAUGCAUCAGUCACAUUAUGCUGUCCCUUUUCCAGCAUAUCUUUCAGUAAUAUUUUCGUCAUAUUGUUUCGUAUGUAAUCUUCUCCUCACGUACACUUAUCUUAGCUGCAUGUUAUUCGUGAACGAUCCAAUCAAAUUGAACAUGACAAAAUUGGGUUUUCAAACAUUGGAGCUCGUAGCCUUCCUGCAGGGUCCUGCACGGGAGAUUGCGGCAAUUACUGUGGCUGCACGAGCCCGUAGCCAUCAUGCACUUUGGCGGUGGCGAAGAUGAGGCCGGCGCAGACCGUGGCACAAGCGGCGAUGCAGACGCAGACCCGAAAGAUCCGAUGCAUGUACUGAUAAAAUAAUAAUAAUAUCGCUGCAUGAAUAUGAUUUCACCACAAAGAAUUGAGAUUACAAAAGGCGGAACUACGUGGAGCAAUGAAGAAACCAAUAUUGCUUUAUAUAUUGUAUGACUCGUGGUCGCCUGGAUGACUGUAAAAGUGUCCCUACUGAUUGAUUCUGGGAAUCAUGUGCUGAAUCUUUUGGUGGUGUCUGAUUGCAUCAUUCAUGCUUUAAACCUGGUGGUGGUUGAUGACUUGUAAAAUAGACUAUUGCUUUAGUUGGGAUAAACUUGAUGUUAAAUGCAUUUUGUGGAGAAGAAAAAUCCUUUAGUUUGUUUGUCGCGACAUCAGAGUUACUUUGUGUGUAAUACAGUACAUUUUAAUUUGAAUUGCAUGUGUGAG